Molecule: long non-coding RNA, 208 nt
Filed under: Bos taurus (domestic cattle)
Lineage: Eukaryota; Metazoa; Chordata; Mammalia; Artiodactyla; Bovidae
Description: long non-coding RNA NONBTAT013860
Source: RNAcentral
CUCUCUCUGGCUCCUCCCAGACCGCCAGUCUGCAGUGGGUAGGAGGAAGGGGCCACUUAGGCAGGUCCCCUUUGAUCUGGAAGCCCAAGAGGUUUUGGAUCCACUGAUUCAACUGUAUGUUGAAAAUCUGAAAUUAGCAGUAAGAAACAUCUCACUCCUAAAAAUACUGAAUAACUAAACAGAAGUACGAGGCAGCUGGGACUAUUUC